RNAcentral lists this ribosomal RNA (512 nucleotides) under uncultured bacterium. RNAcentral's name for it is "partial 16S ribosomal RNA". It matches the Rfam family "Bacterial small subunit ribosomal RNA", at positions 28 to 523 of the family's 1533-position model. The record is from RNAcentral.
GAUGAACGCUGGCGGCAUGCCUAAUACAUGCAAGUCGAACGAGAGGAAGGAAAGCUUGCUUUUCUGAAUCUAGUGGCGAACGGGUGAGUAACACGUAGGUAACCUGCCCAUGUGCCCGGGAUAACGUCUGGAAACGGAUGCUAAAACCGGAUAGGUAGCAGACAAGCAUUUGACUGCUAUUAAAGUAGCUAAGGCCAUGAACAUGGAUGGACCAGCGGUGCAUUAGCUAGUUGGUGAGGUAACGGCCCACCAAGGCGACGAUGCAUAGCCGGCCUGAGAGGGCGGACGGACACAUUGGGACUGAGACACGGCCCAAACUCCUACGGGAGGCAGCAGUAGGGAAUUUUCGUCAAUGGGGGGAACCCUGAACGAGCAAUGCCGCGUGAGUGAGGAAGGUCUUCGGAUCGUAAAGCUCUGUUGUAAGAGAAAAACGACAUUCAUAGGGAAUGAUGAGUGAGUGAUGGUAUCUUACCAGAAAGUCACGGCUAACUACGUGCCAGCAGCCGCGGUAA